RNAcentral lists this long non-coding RNA (1986 nucleotides) under Helianthus annuus (common sunflower). RNAcentral describes it as "hypothetical non coding rna". Lineage: Eukaryota; Viridiplantae; Streptophyta; Magnoliopsida; Asterales; Asteraceae. The record is from RNAcentral.
UUGGAUUUUCAAACUCCACCAAAUUCACCCCGCCAAUGUUCCCUCUUCCUAAAACCCUCAAAUUCUCAAAUCUUCCCUCUUCCUAAGAAUUUACAAAUUCUGUAACUCACUCCCACCUUCCUUAACGUACACAUUCCACCCCUUUCUUCCCUUUUGACCCAACCAAUUUCUAGGGUUUUUAUGUUUUUUAUGAAAUGUGGGUACCUUGGCCGGCUAAUCGGAGACGAAUGUACCACCACCGCCGGUGAAGUUGGCUGACUCUUUCUCUCUCAUGCGUAGUUUGGCCAUGUCGGAUUUGACUCAUUUGUGAGAUUGGAUGGUUACAAGAGGACGAUUGGUGGCCAUUUUUGCUGUAGAGAGAACAAGGGGGCUAGGGUUUGGGCAAAAAUAAUAUAUCGUAAGCUUCGAAGUCAGCUCUACAGACCUUGUCAUAGCGCAAUAUUAGUGUUACUGUCGCAAAUUGAAAACCAACCAUGUGCCACGAAAACAAAGCUAUAGCUCCGUCGGCAGCCGCGACCUCACCACCACCGCCGCCAACCUCACUCGCACCCUGAUUUGGUUUCACCCUACCGAUUCAUGAUGUACGAUUUGCGAUGGAAGGACCGCUGGAAGUCGUUCUGGUUUCAGGCUGUAAUGCAAAUUGAUGUUUGUCAAUAUGAAGGAACUCGCCGACGUUUGCAGAGAAUUAAUAGCAAAAAGUAGGGGGCUGACUUGGUGACCUUCAAUUCACAUCCUACAACUAUUAUAUAUACUCCUAAAAGUGGAUGGGAUGGUUUGUAAAUAUUGAUUAUUUUGCAUGUUUGGAAUUAAUUAUUCUAUAUCCUUAGUUUAUUCUACAAUGAAGAAUCUCUGCGGCUUUUCUCAUUGCGGCUUGCAUUUACAACGUCUGUAGCACCUUUGGGUUUUAGCACAUACAUAAUCUCUAGCGCAAAUAAACCAGUUUUGUAAAAGAAGCUUUCCACAAGCACACUGGAACAGGAAAAUAUGAUAGAGAAAUAGGGACUGGAAGUUUGAAGUUGUUAUAUUUUGGAAGUAAAGGAAAGUUUUUUCAAUAUGUUAACAGUAAAUCUCUACUCAUGGAAGCGUUCCAAACACACUAGUAGCAAGUUGUGAUGUAGUGAAGCCAAAAGUUGUUGCAGCUGAACACAUAUCUCAGAUCAACGAGGAAGCACACUCUUCGUUUGUAAAGAAGUAGAAAACUAUAAUGUGAUGGCAGUUGUAACAUCAAAUAUUUGAGGUCCGUAUUAUUUUUGGUUAAUUCGUAUUAAGAUCAGAUCUUUAAUUGCGUGGCAGUUGUAACAUCAAAUAUUUGAGGUGCUUAUAGGACAUGCUGACAAUGCAGAAUUCGCUCUUAUAAUCUGCCCAACUGAACCUUAUGUACUCUUUGGAGGGAGCUGAAUUUGAAGCCAAAUUCGGGAAGCUUGUUGAACUCAGGUUCAGCAGAGAUGCAGUUAUACAAGCUCUGAAGCUUUUUGAUGGUUGAUCCAAAAUUUGAUUUGGAUAUUAAUUAAGAUGAUGCGGAAGACGAGUGUUCCAACUAUAGAUGGGUCAAGCAUAUAUAUGUUGACAAGUAUGUGUUCAAGCCCUUUAUCUCAGUCUAAUAGGAUGAACAUCUGUUAGAUGUGCAAAUUACCAUAACAUGGGAUCUACAAGUAGCAUGAAUAAAACACUUGGGAAGAUUAUACAACAUCAGAACUGGUCACCAGUUACAAGUUUACUCCCCACCAGAAGAGCGGUAAUGUGGCUACGAACCCAUGGAUGCAAAUUUGCAGCACUUUUAGGUCUAAAAUAGUGAGUAUAUGGACUUGAAGAAAACAGUCUGGAAAUAGUUUCUAGUUUAUGUGUAAAGUCAUUUUUCUGUGCAACAUUUGUAUAGAUAGGUUUUGAUUAGAAGUUAAUGUUUUUAGUUAGUAUUAGUAUCUAAAUUGAAAACUUAUGUAUGGGUAUUUGGUUAUUAUUGUUAAUAGCAUUUGGUUUUUAGUUUUC